This 477-nucleotide ribosomal RNA is filed under the name uncultured bacterium. RNAcentral's name for it is "partial 16S ribosomal RNA". It matches the Rfam family "Bacterial small subunit ribosomal RNA", at positions 28 to 506 of the family's 1533-position model. The record is from RNAcentral.
GAUGAACGCUGGCGGCGUGCUUAACACAUGCAAGUCGAACGGGAAACCUUUUAUUGAAGCUUCGGCAGAUUUAGCUGGUUUCUAGUGGCGGACGGGUGAGUAACGCGUGGGUAACCUGCCUUAUACAGGGGGAUAACAGUCAGAAAUGGCUGCUAAUACCGCAUAAGCGCACAGAGCUGCAUGGCUCAGUGUGAAAAACUCCGGUGGUAUAAGAUGGACCCGCGUUGGAUUAGCUGGUUGGUGGGGUAACGGCCCACCAAGGCGACGAUCCAUAGCCGGCCCGGGGGGGGGAACGGCCAAAUUGGGACUGGGACACGGCCCAGACUCCUGCGGGAGGCAGCAGGGGGGAAAAUUGCAAAAGGGGGGAAACCCUGAUGCAGCGACGCCGGGGGAAGGAAGAAGUAUCUCGGUAUGUAAACUUCUAUCAGCGGGGAAGAAAAUGACGGAACCGGACAAAAAAGCCCCGGCUAACUACGU